RNAcentral lists this unclassified non-coding RNA (400 nucleotides) under soil metagenome. RNAcentral describes it as "partial contains 5.8S ribosomal RNA, internal transcribed spacer 2, and large subunit ribosomal RNA". The stretch from base 1 to 122 matches the Rfam family "5.8S ribosomal RNA", at positions 35 to 154 of the family's 154-position model. The record is from RNAcentral.
GAUGAAGAACGUAGCGAAAUGCGAUACUUGGUGUGAAUUGCAGAAUCCCGUGAACCAUCGAGUCUUUGAACGCAAGUUGCGCCUCAAGCCAUUAGGUUGAGGGCACGUCUGCCUGGGCGUCACAUAUCGUUGCCUGAUGCCAGUUUCCUCGUGAUGGGUGACUGUGCAGGGCGAAUGAUGGCUUCCCGUGAGCAUUGUUGCCUCAUGGUUGGUUGAAAAUUGAGUCCUUGGUAGGGAGCGCCGUGAUAGAUGGUGGUUGAGUGACGAACGAGACCCAAUCAUGUGAGACCCCUACCGAAUUUGACCUUCAUGACCCACAUGCGUCUUUGGAACGCUCAUGACGAGACCUCAGGUCAGGCGGGGCUACCCGCUGAGUUUAAGCAUAUCAAUAAGCGGAGGA